AGCUCGGUGCAGUGGCUCACGC
This 22-nucleotide microRNA is filed under the name Macaca fascicularis (crab-eating macaque). RNAcentral describes it as "novel_miR72-3p". Lineage: Eukaryota; Metazoa; Chordata; Mammalia; Primates; Cercopithecidae. The record is from RNAcentral.